AGAACGAACGCUGGCGGCAUGCCUAACACAUGCAAGUCGAACGAGACCUUCGGGUCUAGUGGCGCACGGGUGCGUAACGCGUGGGAAUCUGCCCUUGGGUUCGGAAUAACAGUUAGAAAUGACUGCUAAUACCGGAUGAUGACGAAAGUCCAAAGAUUUAUCGCCCAGGGAUGAGCCCGCGUAGGAUUAGCUAGUUGGUGAGGUAAAGGCUCACCAAGGCGACGAUCCUUAGCUGGUCCGAGAGGAUGAUCAGUCACACUGGAACUGAGACACGGUCCAGACUCCUACGGGAGGCAGCAGUGGGGAAUAUUGGACAAUGGGCGAAAGCCUGAUCCAGCCAUGCCGCGUGUGUGAAGAAGGUCUUCGGAUUGUAAAGC
RNAcentral lists this ribosomal RNA (377 nucleotides) under uncultured soil bacterium. RNAcentral describes it as "bacterial SSU rRNA". It matches the Rfam family "Bacterial small subunit ribosomal RNA", at positions 26 to 431 of the family's 1533-position model. The record is from RNAcentral.